CAAUAGCGUAUAUUAAAGUUGUUGCAGUUAAAAAGCUCGUAGUUGGAUUUGUGGCGUACGGUGGGUUCCGGGCACUUGUUGUCUGAGUAACUUGCUGUUGCCAUCCUUGGGUGGAACCUGUGUGGCAUUAGGUUGUCGUGCAGGGGAUGCCCAUCAUUUACUGUGAAAAAAUUAGAGUGUUCAAGGCAGGCUUAUGCCGUUGAAUAUAUUAGCAUGGAAUAAUGAGAUAGGACUUUUUUGCUAUUUUGUUGGUUUGCGCAAAGAGGUAAUGAUUAAUAGGGACAGUUGGGGGUAUUCGUAUUCCAUUGUCAGAGGUGAAAUUCUUGGAUUUUUGGAAGACGAACUACUGCGAAAGCAUUUACCAAGGAUGUUUUCAUUAA
This 380-nucleotide ribosomal RNA is filed under the name uncultured eukaryote. Its description in RNAcentral is "partial 18S ribosomal RNA". It matches the Rfam family "Eukaryotic small subunit ribosomal RNA", at positions 592 to 976 of the family's 1831-position model. The record is from RNAcentral.